This 460-nucleotide ribosomal RNA is filed under the name uncultured bacterium. RNAcentral's name for it is "partial 16S ribosomal RNA". It matches the Rfam family "Bacterial small subunit ribosomal RNA", at positions 338 to 795 of the family's 1533-position model. The record is from RNAcentral.
CCUACGGGUGGCAGCAGUGAGGAAUAUUGGUCAAUGGGCGCGAGCCUGAACCAGCCAAGUAGCGUGAAGGAUGACUGCCCUACGGGUUGUAAACUUCUUUUAUAAAGGAAUAAAGUGAGGCGCGUGUGCCUUUUUGUAUGUACUUUAUGAAUAAGGAUCGGCUAACUCCGUGCCAGCAGCCGCGGUAAUACGGAGGCUCCGGCCUUUAUCCGUAUUUAUUGUGUUUAAAGGGAGCGUAGAUGGGUUGUUAAGUAAGUUGUGAAAGUUUGCGGCUCAACCGUAAAAUUGCAAUUGAUACUGGCAGGCUUGAGUACAGUUGAGGUAGGCGGAAUUCGUGGUGUAGCGGUGAAAUGCUUAGAUAUCACGAAGAACUCCGAUUGCGAAGGCAGCUUACUAAACUGCCACUGACAUUGAUGCUCGAAAGUGUGGGUAUCAAACAGGAUUAGAUACCCGGGUAGUC